RNAcentral lists this ribosomal RNA (497 nucleotides) under uncultured bacterium. RNAcentral's name for it is "partial 16S ribosomal RNA". It matches the Rfam family "Bacterial small subunit ribosomal RNA", at positions 28 to 507 of the family's 1533-position model. The record is from RNAcentral.
GAUGAACGCUGGCGGCGUGCCUAAUACAUGCAAGUCGAGCGAACAGACGAGGAGCUUGCUCCUCUGACGUUAGUGGCGGACGGGUGAGUAACACGUGGAUAACCUACCUAUAAGACUGGGAUAACUUCGGGAAACCGGAGCUAAUACCGGAUAAUAUAUUGAACCGCAUGGUUCAAUAGUGAAAGACGGUUUUGCUGCCACUUAUAGAUGGAUCCGCGCCGCAUUAGCUAGUUGGUAAGGUAACGGCUUACCAAGGCAACGAUGCGUAGCCGACCUGAGAGGGUGAUCGGCCACACUGGAACUGAGACACGGUCCAGACUCCUACGGGAGGCAGCAGUAGGGAAUCUUCCGCAAUGGGCGAAAGCUUGACGGAGCAACGCCGCGUGAGUGAUGAAGGUCUUCGGAUCGUAAAACUCUGUUAUUAGGGAAGAACAAAUGUGUAAGUAACUAUGCACGUCUUGACGGUACCUAAUCAGAAAGCCACGGCUAACUACGUG